This is a transfer RNA of 72 nucleotides. It matches the Rfam family "tRNA". Rfam says of the family: Transfer RNA (tRNA) molecules are approximately 80 nucleotides in length. Their secondary structure includes four short double-helical elements and three loops (D, anti-codon, and T loops).
GUCCCCGUAGCUCAGGGGUAGAGCGCCCGCCUUGUAAGCUGGAGGUCGCAGGUUCGAGUCCUGCCGGGGACU